GUUACUGCCGGGAUGAGAAACCCACGAAGAGAGGGCACUAACCUAAAAUAGGAAUGCUUCUUCCCAUUGAAAGUCGUAGAAUACCAGUGAACCUAGCCCAGCCAAACUAACGGAACAACUGAAAUCUAAACUCUAGAUGGCGCGAGUCCGAGUUGUGGGGCUCCCCUGUGAAGCGACUGACCCUGAAGAAGGGGUUCAGCCUGCAGCUGACUUGAGCUGUGGUUUUCCUAGAACACAGCAUGGGAGAGCUUCCUCCUGGCCCUCCAAGACUGGAUUUUGGCUAGGAACCAGACUCAGAAGAGACAGCUUUGCUGAGGAUCAAAUGGAUACCCCCUAAAAUGGAAGCAGAGGCUGUAGAAGACCUAGGAGAUGGAGGUGACUCCUGGCCUCAGGAACUCUGAGGACUGAGUGUAGAAGUUCAGAGAGAUCAUGAGGAGUUGCCUUAUGCAUGUAACACAAAUCCCUCUACAAGAAUGUAGCGUCUCAUCUCAGUCUCUGUCCGUGAGCAGCCACCUCAUCCUGUUUCCUUCCUCACUUAGCUACAUAGUGUCAUUCCUCCUAGUGCUGGGAGGCUGGGUUCCUCCUAGUGCUGGGAGGCUGAGUUCCUCCUAGUGCUGGGAGGCUAGGUAUCUCCAGGCAUUUCAGAGGGGCAGGAGGAAGGGGAGGACAGGGAGUGGCAGAGAGCCAGUGUCCCCCCCUGGAGAUAUGCUUAACUGAGAAGCCAGACUUUAUUUUAAUAGCUCUGCUGGACUCUGUCUCCCAGGCUCCUCCCACUAAAUGUGCUUACUCAUCAGAGUCAAACUUCCUGCAUCUCCUGCCUCAGCUAGUGUUGGGGCUCAAGGGCCAGCAGGGUGAUUGGCCAGGCACUCUUCAGGGUUCCAAGGGAUGAAAAGGCUGUUUCAGGGUCAAGUCCAAACCAGAACGGACAGGCUGGGCUUGCCUUCAUGCCUCUCCUGGAUUCUGACCCCUGGGUAGCAAUCUAGGCCUUAUUCUGGGGGCUUUCCUGGGAGUGGUGCCAUGGUAGAAAGAGUUAGACAGCUGGAGGUAACUGCCUGAAGUCUCAGGAGAUAAGGGUAGGAUAUUGCUGUGCCUUUGAGCCAUAUUUUGCUGAGAAAGCUCCUUCUCAGCGCCUGGGUCCUGGCUGUGUGAGGCCCAAAGCUUAUGUAGUGUUGGAAGCUUCAGUUGAGAAAAGCAAUAUGAAAUUAUUAAUGCAAAAUUAAAUACAGAGACAAACACUUGUAAUAAUAAAGCUGGAAUAAUUACAAGCUUUAAGCA
RNAcentral lists this long non-coding RNA (1275 nucleotides) under Mus spicilegus (steppe mouse). RNAcentral describes it as "lncRNA (ENSMSIG00000008376.1)". The record is from RNAcentral. Lineage: Eukaryota; Metazoa; Chordata; Mammalia; Rodentia; Muridae.